This 498-nucleotide ribosomal RNA is filed under the name uncultured bacterium. RNAcentral describes it as "partial 16S ribosomal RNA". It matches the Rfam family "Bacterial small subunit ribosomal RNA", at positions 29 to 523 of the family's 1533-position model. The record is from RNAcentral.
AUUGAACGCUGGCGGCAUGCUUUACACAUGCAAGUCGAACGGUAACAGGCCGCAAGGUGCUGACGAGUGGCGAACGGGUGAGUAAUGCAUCGGAACGUGCCCAGUCGUUGGGGAUAACGCAGCGAAAGCUGUGCUAAUAACGCAUACGAUCUAUGGAUGAAAGCGGGGGACCGUAAGGCCUCGCGCGAUCGGAGCGGCCGAUGUCAGAUUAGGUAGUUGGUGGGGUAAAGGCUCACCAAGCCAACGAUCUGUAGCUGGUCUGAGAGGACGACCAGCACGACUGGGACGGCGACACGGCCCAGACUCGUACGGGAGGCAGCAGUGGGUAAUUUUGGACAAUGGGCGCAAGCCUGAACCAGCAAUGCCGAGUGCAGGAAGAAGGCCUUAGGGUUGUAAACUGCUUUUGUACGGAACGAAAAGGUUUGGGUUAAUACCCUGGGCCGAUGACGGUACCGUAAGAAUAAGCACCGGCUAACUACGUGCCAGCAGCCGCGGUAA